CCUACGGGGGGCUGCAGUCGAGAAUCUUCGGCAAUGGGCGCAAGCCUGACCGAGCGACGCCGCGUGCGGGAUGAAGGCCUUCGGGUUGUAAACCGCUGUCGUAGGGGAGGAAGAUCCUGUGCAGAACAGGGUUUGACCGAUCCUAGGAGGAAGGGCCGGCUAAUCUCGUGCCAGCAGCCGCGGUAAUACGAGAGGCCCAACGGUUAUUCGGAAUUACUGGGCUUAAAGGGGUCGAAGGAAGCAUGGAAAUGAAAGCCCUCGGCUCAACCGAGGAAUUGCGCUCUGAACUGUCGUGCUUGAGGAAGCUAGAGGUGAGCGGAACUGAUGGUGGAGCGGUGAAAUGCGUUGAUAUCAUCAGGAACACCGGAGGCGAAGGCGGCUCACUGGGGAUUUUCUGACGCUGAGGAACGAAAGCCAGGGUAGCGAACGGGAUUAGAUACCCCGGUAGUC
This 450-nucleotide ribosomal RNA is filed under the name uncultured bacterium. Its description in RNAcentral is "partial 16S ribosomal RNA". It matches the Rfam family "Bacterial small subunit ribosomal RNA", at positions 338 to 795 of the family's 1533-position model. The record is from RNAcentral.